UCUCCGUAGGUGAACCUGCGGAGGGAUCAUUACCGAGUGAGGGCUCCGGCCCGACCUCCAACCCUUUGUCGAAGUCCCUUGUUGCCUCGGGGGUGACCCGGCCCUCUGGCGUCGGGGCCUCCCGCGGACCACACAAACCACUCUUGCAUGUUUGCGUCGGAGUCGAAAAGUAAAUGAAAUGAAAACUUUCAACAACGGAUCUCUUGGUUCUGGCAUCGAUGAAGAACGCAGC
Molecule: unclassified non-coding RNA, 232 nt
Filed under: uncultured fungus
Lineage: Eukaryota; Fungi
Description: sequence contains ITS1, 5.8S rRNA gene
Rfam family: 5.8S ribosomal RNA (bases 184-232)
Source: RNAcentral